UACGGAGGGUCCAAGCGUUAUCCGGAUUUAUUGGGUUUAAAGGGUGCGUAGGCGGAUAUGUAAGUCAGCGGUGAAACUCACAGGCUCAACCUGUGCCGUGCCGUUGAAACUGUGUAUCUGGAAUGCGGAUGCUGUGGGAGGAAUGUGUAGUGUAGCGGUGAAAUGCAUAGAUAUUACACAGAACACCGAUUGCGAAGGCAUCUCACAAAGCCGUUAUUGACGCUGAGGCACGAAAGUGUGGGGAUCAAACAGGA
Molecule: ribosomal RNA, 254 nt
Filed under: uncultured prokaryote
Description: partial 16S ribosomal RNA
Rfam family: Bacterial small subunit ribosomal RNA
Source: RNAcentral